AUUUGAUGAACCGGUUCUACCGAAUAGGUGCGAAAUGGUAGGAACCCACCUCUGGAUCAGGGAUGCCUUCCUUGGAGACGGUGGGGCAGUAGAAUAAGGAGAGUUUUCCACCCUGGACACUUGGAGAUUUCGGAGGGACUGUGAAAAGCCUUAAGAACUCUUCAAAGAUGGAGUGGUCAACUUUCUCUCUCUUUCUCUGCUAUGUUUGACCCAUUUCCUGCGUUCAUGUCCAUGUUUAUACUUGGUACAUGUUUGACAAACCAAUUAACUAAAUAAAUAAAAAGAUUUCAUUGCCACACUUCAUUCAGGUUUUUUUUCUCUUUCUCUUUCGCUGCUAUGUUUCACUUUGACUCUUAGUGCUAAAAGGAUUCCAGACAACACAUCCUGGCUAGAAUAUGUCUCUUUAAAGUAGAAGUGAAAUUUUUAUCUCCUGCCACUUCUUGAAAUUUCUCUUCAAAUUUAUUUGGCGGUGGAGGGUGGGGAACAGAUUUGCUUUAGAACUGAAAGUCUCUCAUUUCUUCCCUAUAAUUCUUAGCUCCUCUCCAAUUUUUUUCUCCCUUCUCCACAGGAAGUUCUAUGAAGUGCGAAUAUUGCACAGCAAUUAAUACCCAUUGCUCUGGUCCGAAGGAAGAAUGUCCUUUUGAGAAUGAUGUCUGUAUGAGGUUGAAUAUCACAAUUCUCGACAUAUUCUGGGUCGCCAUUGGAAGGUGCACUCCAAAAUCUGAUUGUGAGCAAUAUGAACGUCUGACAGGGAAGCCUUUCUCUGGUGACAUAAUCAAUGUUCCGGGGAACUCCAUCAUUAAAGGGGUUGAGUGCAGCAGAGCCCCUCCUUCCUUUGCAUCCUUCGUCCCAGCCUUCCUUGGGCUCCUCCUGAUGAAGCUUCUUUGCUAGAGCUCUUCCUCCCACCCAAGAAAUUGUCCCCUUUUUCUCAGCCUGUAUGUCCUCUCCAGCUGAUCAGGUGGGACUUUUGAUGGUAUGCAUGGGUCUCUAAAUUUUCCCAGAUGCAAAACUGUUGAGCAGGCAGAAACAUAAUCAACAGCCUUUUUUUUUGUGUAUGUUGCAAGUUUUUAAUUUUAUUUUACAUAUACUUAUCAAUGUGUGAACAGUGUGGCACCUGGGUGUCAUACAUUCUAAUAACAAAUAGUAGUAGUAAAAUUGAUCAUAGUUAUUACAUUCAACCAACGUGUAUAUUUCUAAUAAUAAUGCACAUGUGUAUUAAAUUAUAUUAAAUCAUUAUUUAAUUAUUCCAUGUUUUAAUAUAUUGCUCUAAUGGCACUCACCAUAUUAUUUAAUCAUGCAUAAUAAUACCGCCAUUCAAUUUCUAAACUUCCCUCUUGUUAUUGCUUUUAUUUUAUUAUGUAAAAAGUAUUCAUAAUAUUCCCCCUUCCUCUAUUUUCUAUCACUAUUCUAACUUUGAAUCAUGUCAACCUUUUAUUAAAAGACGUUUUCUUUCUAUCCUACCUAACUUGUAAUACUGCCACCAUUCUAAAAAAGAAUGGAAAGAAAAGAAAAGAAGAAAAA
This is a non-coding RNA of Thamnophis sirtalis, 1521 nucleotides long. Lineage: Eukaryota; Metazoa; Chordata; Lepidosauria; Squamata; Natricidae. The record is from RefSeq and is a predicted model, not a curated record.